AAACACCGCCAAUAUCUAAAGUUCGAACUUCCCUCUUCAUCCUCUACUGAAAUUUCAUCUUCCCUCUACUUGAAAAUUUCAUAUUCCCGCUUGUUUACAAUUACAUCCCCAAAACUCCCCCUCCCCAAAUCCAUCUCCUUCCCAACCGCAUAUUUCCCCUCAAGCUUAAUCAAUCGAAGUCGUGGUCUGCCAUCACAACACCACCACUUCUUGGUGGUUAUGGUGUUGGUCAAAAUUUGUAUUAGAAAUAAAUAGAUCUGCAAGCUUACAUACUUGUUACCAGUGGUCAUCGGAACCCUAGCCGCCAAUUCCGUAGGUGGCUGGUAGGUCUUCAAACACCACAACCACCAGAACCCGAGGUCUUACAACAUGCCUUUGUUUCCCAAGCCUUUGGUUCUUACUUCUUCAACGAUUUUAAUAGUUCAAAACUCAAAAUCACAAUCCAAUCACAGCUUAUAUUAAGAGGGCUGGCAUGAAAUAUGGGAACAAACAUUUUGUUAUAGACAAGAGCAGGUGUGAUACCUACAAGGCUAAAAGCAGUUUCAUCCAUUGAAUUAUGCCAACACAAAUUCCCUUCUAACUAACCUUGGUGUGGAAGGCAAGCAGCUAUUAGCGGUAGGUUCAUGCUGUACAUGGUUACUUGAGAAGCCUGGGUUGGUUUGUUGCUAACAUGUGCCUUGCUGAGGGAAAUUGCUUCAAAGAAAAUAAAAAAAAGUUUUACCACAAGGUGUCACAUUUGGUCUUGGUUGGGGAAGAGUAGAGGAAUACUCGGCUGCAGAUAUGGAUGGUAUUUGCGAAGAUUGGUUGACUUAUACGGCUACCUUUGUUAAGUGGACCAUAUUUAGGUGUUGAAGAAUGUAUUGACAAACAAUUUUUUUUUUGUUAACGUUAACAUAUUUGUAAUAUACUUGACAUGUGAUUAUGUAAUUGGUUGUUUUGGUAUA
Molecule: long non-coding RNA, 944 nt
Organism: Helianthus annuus (common sunflower)
Lineage: Eukaryota; Viridiplantae; Streptophyta; Magnoliopsida; Asterales; Asteraceae
Exons: 4
Source: RefSeq, a predicted model, not a curated record